RNAcentral lists this long non-coding RNA (1589 nucleotides) under Zea mays. RNAcentral describes it as "long non-coding RNA (ZMAY_LNC004051)". The record is from RNAcentral. Lineage: Eukaryota; Viridiplantae; Streptophyta; Magnoliopsida; Poales; Poaceae.
ACAUCCGAAUGUAUGAGUUUUCCUCAACACUAACACGAGUAGUUGCCCACAUACAAAUAAAAAUCAUGUGACGGUCUCACCAUAAAUCCAAUAUGUUGAAUCCAAACGAUUUCUUAAACCACUUCUCCUUUCCUGGGGUAUAAGUUUGCAAACUGCCACUUUUCUCCCAUCCGCAAAGAUCAUCUAGGUCUACUUAAACAGUCUUCAUCGUUUUAGCAUGAGUGCAUGACAAUGCCAUCCUACGUGCCACCAUAAGCUGGUGAAUGGUACAACCAUAAAUGCAAUGGAAGCAAAUCUUGUUCUUCGGUAAACAUCUGUCAUUCCAGGGCUUUAAUCGAGAUGGACGGCAAGCAUCUAACUUUGGCUCCAGUUCUGUAGUAUUUCUAGUCUGCUAAUAGAAUGUGGGUUGUGUCCCUUCUCUAGUAUCUUGUUUCCAGUAAAGCAUCAAGCAAUCCGAAAUCCAUGGCCUGCAAAUGAUGAAACACAUGUAAUAGCUCAAAAGGAGAGAUUUGAUAUAGUACUUUGCUAAAAAUCAUGUGACAAUAAAUGCAGCUGAACAUAAAUUAGCUAAAACUCCUAAGUCAUGCGCACACAUGUUAAGAGCACUGAAAAGGUGAAUAAUGCAACACAUGUAUCAGAUGAAAUCCUUGCUUAAGACAGUUAACCUUGAACUUUAAAGUGUUUUUUUUCUGGAUAUGGUUGCAGGAAAUUGGUGGUUUGUAUUAUGUAUGCUCCCUUUCUUAAAUAGACUUUAGCUAAAGCAUGGUUCAGCCAAUUAUAGGUCCAUCAGCAAGUAGUGGUUGCACAGACAACAAAUGGUAUAUACUCUAUAAUGUUCCAAUAUUCCCAACAUAUCAUCAUUUUUUCUGUUUUAUUGAAUUUCACUUUGGUAAAUGGCAGGCCUGACGGGGCUUUGAUAGCGCACAUUUGAUCAUAUUGGCAACAAUGGUAAGUAGUUAGUGAUGUAGUGUUAAUUUAUUCAGGAGAGCUGAUUUGUUUGUCCAUACCAAACAUGAAAAUUUCACUGUGUAGCAGUUACCUAAGCGCAAGGUACAAUUUACCAGGGAAUGAAAAAAAGAAAAACAAGGAAACAAGGAAGUUCAAAUUUUAACUUGAAAAGUAAAAUAUUUUGUCGAUGAAACCAAAAAAACAAACUAACUACAUAAUGAUGAAUUAUUGGAACAGAAAAAUAGUAGAUGCAUAUACAGUUUUAAAGUCCCGUUGAUAUGUUUGUUUCAAGUACAUAAGUUGAAUUUCAUAUUGUAUUACAAUGUUACUAAACGAUGGAUUUCUUAUAAAAAUUUGAGAAAAAUCAGCAACACUUUUAAAACUGUCAUGGUAGAUGCAAAAAAUUAUAGGCACAGACCUCAAAAAGGAUUUACCGAACCAAAGUAAUUUACCAAACCAACCUAAUUCGAUGUCAUGUACAAAUCGUAAGGCAUUCUGUGUUCCCCAAGUCCCAACUCACCGAUGUUCUUGUACUUUCUGAAGCUGAUAAAAUAACAGUGUUAUUUGCAGGGAGCUGAAUACACUAAUAGGGAGCUUCUGAGUGGAGAGAAGGAAGGCUUUAUGCAGCUACCAAGUUGACA